RNAcentral lists this long non-coding RNA (1181 nucleotides) under Brassica napus (rape). RNAcentral describes it as "long non-coding RNA (BNAP_LNC005197)". Lineage: Eukaryota; Viridiplantae; Streptophyta; Magnoliopsida; Brassicales; Brassicaceae. The record is from RNAcentral.
UAAAGAUGUACGUUCAUUGUUUGACUCAUAUCUUCGAAACCACGAGGCUUCUACGCAUGAAAUCACUUGGAAAAUGUGCUCAACUCAAUUACGGAGCUCCUCGAAGAAAAAUCAGAUCAAACGGACUUCAGAUGAAGGAGUUACGCAAUUUACAAAACAGGUGAUCUUCAGUUUAUGCGAAUUUGGACCUAUGUGCAUUCAAUGAACAAUUCCGACCAGCCCAGAUGGAAUUAAGCCACAAGCCCAAUUUUUCUACAAUCUUGGUACAUCAGAGAAGUCCAUAAAAGUGGAUUCAGCCCAAAAAUAUCAAAAGAAGACUGAUUUUCGUCCAGAUUUAAAAUAGUAUUUAUUUAAGUGUGUUUCUCUCUUUCAUCUUUCAUUCUCUAUUUCUUUUUUUUUUCUUUCUUUCUAUUUUUAUAAUUAUUUCGUCAGAGAGAAAGUGCUACUAGAUACUCUUCUUUUAUACGAACCAGAUUUGUGAGCAAAUCUUUUUUUUAAGAGGAAGGGAAUGAUAUGAUCAUGGGAAACAGUAAAGAUGUACGUUCAUUGUUUGACUCAUAUCUUCGAAACCACGAGGCUUCUACGCAUGAAAUCACUUGGAAAAUGUGCUCAACUCAAUUACGGAGCUCCUCGAAGAAAAAUCAGAUCAAACGGACUUCAGAUGAAGGAGUUACGCAAUUUACAAAACAGGUGAUCUUCAGUUUAUGCGAAUUUGGACCUAUGUGCAUUCAAUGAACAAUUCCGACCAGCCCAGAUGGAAUUAAGCCACAAGCCCAAUUGUUCUACAAUCUUGGUACAUCAGAGAAGCCCAUAAAAGUGGAUUCAGCCCAAAAAUAUCAAAAGAAGACUGAUUUUCGUCCAGAUUUGUCUAGAUUCAAAAUAGCAUUUAUUUAAGUGUGUUUCUCUCUCUUGCAUGCAGAAUAGAGUUUGAAUUUCAACUCCCAAGUUGUGCUGCAUGUUAGGAUACUUUUAUGGACGAAAAUUACUUGUAUUUCUCUAUAAAAAGAGCCCAAAAAUCAUGAAUAAGAAUAAGUUUGUUUUUCAGUGAAAAUUAGAGAAGUUUCUCUCUUUCAAGAUGUGAUGUCUUGUAAUUUUUGGAACUCCAUGUUCAUGGUGUGCAUGGCCGGCCUUGAGGGGAAGCCAUCCAAGCCAAGGAUUAGGGCAUCCAAAUUAGUGGGGCA